GAGUAGAGAGACUUAAGAUCAACUUAAGUUGGACAGAGGCUAUAGAAAUUGCAGCAGCUGCCUUUUCACUGGUAAAACAACCAAUGUUCACAUCAUUUGUAUUCAAUAGUUUCAGUUUUGCUGAUCAAUAAUUUUGAGUUCUUUCAGGUGUGCAGCGUUGGCAUGUUGGAGUGCUUGUAUGUCCAUGGACAAGAAAUGAAAAUUUUCAGACACCUGUCUAUUGGUGAUUAACAGCUGCAGAGGGCCUUCAGACAUAGCUCUUUUUCACCACUGAGAAGACAAGGAGAUGGAAUGCCUUAUUACAAUUCUGAGUUUGAAAGUAAGCCUUUCCCCCAAGAGACUAAGAAUGACUUCCUCCCUAAUCCUGGUACACCUAGCUGCCAUUAUGAUUUGCAGGAGUCGAAGAAGUCUGUGGAACAAUUUUCAGAGGUAAAGCUUGAUAAGCUUGAAAACUGCCCUUUUUAUCAGUCUCAAUCUCUUCAAUUUUUUUAAAGAACAUAAAUUUGUUGUUUCAACCACAAAAAAGUAUGCUUUUCUGAAAAUCAUUGAAGUAGAUGUGUUUGAUUCUUUGUAAUACUGAUUUUUCAUUCGUUAUAUAUAGAUAGAUAUAUCAGUUAAAAGAUUUUUGACAAAAA
Long non-coding RNA from Mangifera indica (mango), 635 nucleotides. RefSeq lists it as uncharacterized. The transcript has 3 exons. Lineage: Eukaryota; Viridiplantae; Streptophyta; Magnoliopsida; Sapindales; Anacardiaceae. The record is from RefSeq and is a predicted model, not a curated record.